This 2925-nucleotide ribosomal RNA is filed under the name Escherichia coli. Its description in RNAcentral is "bacterial LSU rRNA". It matches the Rfam family "Bacterial large subunit ribosomal RNA". The record is from RNAcentral. Lineage: Bacteria; Pseudomonadati; Pseudomonadota; Gammaproteobacteria; Enterobacterales; Enterobacteriaceae.
GGGUUGUGAGGUUAAGCGACUAAGCGUACACGGUGGAUGCCCUGGCAGUCAGAGGCGAUGAAGGACGUGCUAAUCUGCGAUAAGCGUCGGUAAGGUGAUAUGAACCGUUAUAACCGGCGAUUUCCGAAUGGGGAAACCCAGUGUGUUUCGACACACUAUCAUUAACUGAAUCCAUAGGUUAAUGAGGCGAACCGGGGGAACUGAAACAUCUAAGUACCCCGAGGAAAAGAAAUCAACCGAGAUUCCCCCAGUAGCGGCGAGCGAACGGGGAGGAGCCCAGAGCCUGAAUCAGUGUGUGUGUUAGUGGAAGCGUCUGGAAAGGCGCGCGAUACAGGGUGACAGCCCCGUACACAAAAAUGCACAUGCUGUGAGCUCGAUGAGUAGGGCGGGACACGUGGUAUCCUGUCUGAAUAUGGGGGGACCAUCCUCCAAGGCUAAAUACUCCUGACUGACCGAUAGUGAACCAGUACCGUGAGGGAAAGGCGAAAAGAACCCCGGCGAGGGGAGUGAAAAAGAACCUGAAACCGUGUACGUACAAGCAGUGGGAGCCUCUUAAUGGGGUGACUGCGUACCUUUUGUAUAAUGGGUCAGCGACUUAUAUUCUGUAGCAAGGUUAACCGAAUAGGGGAGCCGAAGGGAAACCGAGUCUUAACUGGGCGUUAAGUUGCAGGGUAUAGACCCGAAACCCGGUGAUCUAGCCAUGGGCAGGUUGAAGGUUGGGUAACACUAACUGGAGGACCGAACCGACUAAUGUUGAAAAAUUAGCGGAUGACUUGUGGCUGGGGGUGAAAGGCCAAUCAAACCGGGAGAUAGCUGGUUCUCCCCGAAAGCUAUUUAGGUAGCGCCUCGUGAAUUCAUCUCCGGGGGUAGAGCACUGUUUCGGCAAGGGGGUCAUCCCGACUUACCAACCCGAUGCAAACUGCGAAUACCGGAGAAUGUUAUCACGGGAGACACACGGCGGGUGCUAACGUCCGUCGUGAAGAGGGAAACAACCCAGACCGCCAGCUAAGGUCCCAAAGUCAUGGUUAAGUGGGAAACGAUGUGGGAAGGCCCAGACAGCCAGGAUGUUGGCUUAGAAGCAGCCAUCAUUUAAAGAAAGCGUAAUAGCUCACUGGUCGAGUCGGCCUGCGCGGAAGAUGUAACGGGGCUAAACCAUGCACCGAAGCUGCGGCAGCGACACUAUGUGUUGUUGGGUAGGGGAGCGUUCUGUAAGCCUGUGAAGGUGGCCUGUGAGGGUUGCUGGAGGUAUCAGAAGUGCGAAUGCUGACAUAAGUAACGAUAAAGCGGGUGAAAAGCCCGCUCGCCGGAAGACCAAGGGUUCCUGUCCAACGUUAAUCGGGGCAGGGUGAGUCGACCCCUAAGGCGAGGCCGAAAGGCGUAGUCGAUGGGAAACAGGUUAAUAUUCCUGUACUUGGUGUUACUGCGAAGGGGGGACGGAGAAGGCUAUGUUGGCCGGGCGACGGUUGUCCCGGUUUAAGCGUGUAGGCUGGUUUUCCAGGCAAAUCCGGAAAACCAAGGCUGAGGCGUGAUGACGAGGCACUACGGUGCUGAAGUGACAAAUGCCCUGCUUCCAGGAAAAGCCUCUAAGCAUCAGGUAACAUCAAAUCGUACCCCAAACCGACACAGGUGGUCAGGUAGAGAAUACCAAGGCGCUUGAGAGAACUCGGGUGAAGGAACUAGGCAAAAUGGUGCCGUAACUUCGGGAGAAGGCACGCUGAUAUGUAGGUGAAGCGACUUGCUCGUGGAGCUGAAAUCAGUCGAAGAUACCAGCUGGCUGCAACUGUUUAUUAAAAACACAGCACUGUGCAAACACGAAAGUGGACGUAUACGGUGUGACGCCUGCCCGGUGCCGGAAGGUUAAUUGAUGGGGUUAGCGGUAACGCGAAGCUCUUGAUCGAAGCCCCGGUAAACGGCGGCCGUAACUAUAACGGUCCUAAGGUAGCGAAAUUCCUUGUCGGGUAAGUUCCGACCUGCACGAAUGGCGUAAUGAUGGCCAGGCUGUCUCCACCCGAGACUCAGUGAAAUUGAACUCGCUGUGAAGAUGCAGUGUACCCGCGGCAAGACGGAAAGACCCCGUGAACCUUUACUAUAGCUUGACACUGAACAUUGAGCCUUGAUGUGUAGGAUAGGUGGGAGGCUUUGAAGUGUGGACGCCAGUCUGCAUGGAGCCGACCUUGAAAUACCACCCUUUAAUGUUUGAUGUUCUAACGUUGGCCCCUAAUCGGGGUUGCGGACAGUGUCUGGUGGGUAGUUUGACUGGGGCGGUCUCCUCCUAAAGAGUAACGGAGGAGCACGAAGGUUGGCUAAUCCUGGUCGGACAUCAGGAGGUUAGUGCAAUGGCAUAAGCCAGCUUGACUGCGAGCGUGACGGCGCGAGCAGGUGCGAAAGCAGGUCAUAGUGAUCCGGUGGUUCUGAAUGGAAGGGCCAUCGCUCAACGGAUAAAAGGUACUCCGGGGAUAACAGGCUGAUACCGCCCAAGAGUUCAUAUCGACGGCGGUGUUUGGCACCUCGAUGUCGGCUCAUCACAUCCUGGGGCUGAAGUAGGUCCCAAGGGUAUGGCUGUUCGCCAUUUAAAGUGGUACGCGAGCUGGGUUUAGAACGUCGUGAGACAGUUCGGUCCCUAUCUGCCGUGGGCGCUGGAGAACUGAGGGGGGCUGCUCCUAGUACGAGAGGACCGGAGUGGACGCAUCACUGGUGUUCGGGUUGUCAUGCCAAUGGCACUGCCCGGUAGCUAAAUGCGGAAGAGAUAAGUGCUGAAAGCAUCUAAGCACGAAACUUGCCCCGAGAUGAGUUCUCCCUGAGACUUAGAGUCUCCUGAAGGAACGUUGAAGACGACGACGUUGAUAGGCCGGGUGUGUAAGCGCAGCGAUGCGUUGAGCUAACCGGUACUAAUGAACCGUGAGGCUUAACCUUACAACGCCGAAG